Molecule: non-coding RNA, 822 nt
Filed under: Cristarma eulimene
Lineage: Eukaryota; Metazoa; Arthropoda; Malacostraca; Decapoda; Sesarmidae
Source: RNAcentral
AGUGUUUAAUUUUGGCUUAAAUUUUUACGUUUUUAUUAAAAUUGCAUGAAAAUUAUUGGUGUGUAUAAAUAUAUUUAAUUUUAUAUUAAAAUAUUGUCUUAAAUAAAUAUAAUUAAUGAAUUAUAUAAUCUCAGCAUAAACUAUUAAUUUAUGUGCGAAAGUAUGAAUUAGUAAUAAUAAUUAAAUCUGAUGAAUAUUUGUGCCAGCAUUCGCGGUUAUACUUUAAGAUUAAGUAAAAAAAAUUAGUAAUUUAGUUAAAUGAGAAAUUUUAUAAAUUUAUAAAUAAUAAAAGGUAAAAUUUAAUUGUUAUUUUAUAUAGAUUUAAUAAUUUUAAUUGAAGCUAAAAAAUCUAACUAUAAACUAGGAUUAGAUACCCUAUUAUUUUAGGAAAAAAUUUUAAACUAGAUUAGUAUUAGUUAAAUACUUAAAAAUUAAAAGAUUUGGCGGUGAUUUAAUCUUUUCAGAGGAAUUUGUUUUUUAAUCGAUAAUCCACGAAAAAUCUUACUUGUUUUUGUUGAAUAAUAUCAGUUUGUAUACCAUCAUUAUCAGAUAAUUCUAAAAAGAAAAAUUAUCAAAUAUAAAUAACUAUUAAAAUUAGAUCAUGGUGCAGCCUAUAAACAAGGUAAAAUGAAUUACAAUAAAUUAUUUUAUAAUGAAUUAAUAAAGUAAUUUUUAUUAUGAAGGAGGAUUUGAUAGUAUUAUAAAUUUAAUAAGUUUAUAAGAUAGUGGCUCUAAAUCAUGUACAUAUCGCCCGUCGCUUUCAUUUAUAAAUGAAAUAAGUCGUAACAUAGUAGAUGUACUGGAAAGUGUAUCUAGAAUUAU